Molecule: ribosomal RNA, 442 nt
Filed under: uncultured bacterium
Lineage: Bacteria
Description: bacterial SSU rRNA
Rfam family: Bacterial small subunit ribosomal RNA
Source: RNAcentral
AACGCGAAGAACCUUACCUGGACUUGACAUGCUUUUGACCGCCGUAGAAAUACGGUUUUCUCGCAAGAGACAGAAGCACAGGUGCUGCAUGGCUGUCGUCAGCUCGUGCCGUGAGGUGUUGGGUUAAGUCCCGCAACGAGUGCAACCCUUGUCGUUAGUUGCCAACGCGUAAUGGCGGGCACUCUAGCGAGACUGCCCAGGUUAACUGGGAGGAAGGUGAGGAUGACGUCAAGUCCGCAUGGCCUUUAUGUCCAGGGCUACACACGUGCUACAAUGGUCGGUACAACGGGUUCCGACACGGCGACGUGAAGGCAAUCCCUUAAAGCCGGUCUCAGUUCGGAUUGCAGGCUGCAACUCGCCUGCAUGAAGUCGGAGUUGCUAGUAACCGCAGGUCAGCACACUGCGGUGAAUACGUUCCCGGGCCUUGUACACACCGAGUAUA